RNAcentral lists this ribosomal RNA (446 nucleotides) under uncultured bacterium. RNAcentral describes it as "bacterial SSU rRNA". It matches the Rfam family "Bacterial small subunit ribosomal RNA", at positions 1052 to 1504 of the family's 1533-position model. The record is from RNAcentral.
UCGUCAGCUCGUGCCGUGAGGUGUCGGCUUAAGUGCCAUAACGAGCGCAACCCCUGCGUGUAGUUGCCAUAAAAAAAAUGCUGGGCACUCUGCACGGACUGCCACUGUAAGGUGUGAGGAAGGUGGGGAUGACGUCAAAUCAGCACGGCCCUUACGUCUGGGGCUACACACGUGUUACAAUGGGUGGUACAGCGAGUUGUCCGCCGGCAACGUCGGACCAAUCUUGAAAACCAUUCUCAGUUCGGAUUGGGGUCUGCAACCCGACCCCAUGAAGCUGGAUUCGCUAGUAAUCGCGCAUCAGCCAUGGCGCGGUGAAUACGUUCCCGGGCCUUGUACGCACCGCCCGUCAAGCCAUGAAAGCCGGGGGCGCCUGAAGUCCGUUUCCGCAAGGUUCGGCCUAGGGUGAAACUGGUGAUUGGGGCCCCCUUGAUGCCAAGGUAGCCGUA